Molecule: ribosomal RNA, 790 nt
Filed under: uncultured Alphaproteobacteria bacterium
Lineage: Bacteria; Pseudomonadati; Pseudomonadota; Alphaproteobacteria
Description: bacterial SSU rRNA
Rfam family: Bacterial small subunit ribosomal RNA
Source: RNAcentral
CUGGCGGCAUGCCUCAUACAUGCAAGUCGAACGAGGUCUUCGGACCUAGUGGCGCACGGGUGAGUAACAUGUGGGAAUCUACCUGAAGGUUCGGAAUAACUGCGGGAAACUGUAGCUAAUACCGGAUGUGUCUGUAAAGAGAAAGAUUUAUCGCCUUCAGAUGAGCCCGCACUAGAUUAGCUAGUUGGUGAGGUAACUGCUCCACCAAGGCUACGAUCUAUAGCUGAUUUGAGAGGAUGAUCAGCCACACUGGGACUGAGACACGGCCCAGACUCCUACGGGAGGCAGCAGUAGGGAAUAUUGGACAAUGGGGGAAACCCUGAUCCAGCAAUGCCGCGUGAGUGAAGAAGGCCUUAGGGUUGUAAAACUCUUUCAUCAAUGAUGAUAAUGACAUUAGUUGAAGAAGAAGCUCCGGCUAACUUCGUGCCAGCAGCCGCGGUAAUACGAAGGGGGCUAGCGUUGUUCGGAAUCACUGGGCGUAAAGCGUAUGUAGGCGGAUCAAAAAGUUAGAUGUGAAAUCCCUGGGCUCAACCCAGGAACUGCAUUUAAAACUAGUGAUCUAGAAAUUGGUAAGGGUUAGUAGAAUUUCCAGUGUAGAGGUGAAAUUCGUAGAUAUUGGAAAGAAUACCAGAAGCGAAGGCGACUAACUUGGCCAUUUUUGACGCUGAGAUACGAAAGCGUGGGUAGCAAACAGGAUUAGAUACCCUGGUAGUCCACGCAGUAAACGAUGAGUGCUAGUCGCUGGGACAAUAGUUUCAGUGUCGAAGCUAACGCAUUAAGCACUCCGCCU